UCACCUGCUUCUCAUAAAAGCCAAAAAAGGGCAAUCAUCAGGUGCCUGGGCGGGAGCUAACCCCCACCUGGAGCCGCUGUACCCUCAAUCCCCACCUGGACCUAGUUUAUCUAGAGUCAAUAUAUUUACCCUGCCCGGGGAGGAAUCCUGCUCACUCCCAGCUCUGGGGCGUCACCCGCGAUCAGCAGCUACUCUUCAGCCUCCUGCCGUUCCCCAAGUACUGGGCAGGCGCCAGCCCCCCCUCCCCCGGGUCGAGGUCCCCCCGCCUCUCACUGGGAGCAGUACGAGGAGACCGGGGUUUCUUUCUCACUGGCCUCUGAAUCCUGAAAUGAAAGCUGCAGAGAACCCAAGAUACCAUUCACAGUUUUUGCAUAAGCUGAACCUACUCUAAAGCUCUCAAGCCCAAGUGGAUUUAUAUUGGCAGGAGCCUCUCCUUAAAUUGCCUUUAUGUAGGGCGAAUCUCAGUAGCCUGUGGUUGGCAGGGCAAGAUCCGGUUCCUUCUCAGCUGGCUCUGCCCCCAGGAUGUUACCUUGUCUUCUGCAGCAGCAGGGCCUUCAUCUGAGACACAAGGGGCAGACAGGAUGAAAGACUGCCUAGGAAAGGAGUCUUUUUCAUGGGGGUAUAAAAGCAAGAUGGAGACAAGGAGGCUUAUUGCUGUUUGAAAGAAAACCACUCACAUAACUAGAUGUGAAAAGUAAAA
Pogoniulus pusillus (Red-fronted tinkerbird) is the source of this 700-nucleotide long non-coding RNA. RefSeq lists it as uncharacterized. NCBI's taxonomy places the organism in Eukaryota, Metazoa, Chordata, Aves, Piciformes, Lybiidae. The transcript is spliced from 3 exons. The record is from RefSeq and is a predicted model, not a curated record.